CGCAGCCCACAUCCCGUUCGUGAUCUUCUCCCGUUCGGAUCAAGGAACCAAUAUCGUGAUGACCUCCACGUUGAUUCCCAGACUUCAUCCUCCCGUGUUCCAAAGUCCACAACCUUCGGAAUAGAGCAGAGUCCAGCUCAUCUCCUCCACGUUGAUUCUCUCUCCAGAUUGCGUUUGUGAUCUAUCUUCAUCCCACGACCGCAUCAAAUCCCCUGCAUCUCGGAUUACAGGCUUAUCUCCUGCUUCGAAACCAACUCUCAUCCCCUGCUCCAUUAGAUUUCGCCCACAGGAUGAACACAAAUCCCAGCAAUCCUUCCUCCCAAACCGACCAAUCCUUAUCCCAACUAAAUUCCGCUAGCUCCCAGCCUUCCUGUCAUCAUCCACGAAUGAGUUCCAAGCAAGCUUCAUCUCAACUGUCAACCGAAUCCAAACUCCCUCCCAUACGGAUUAAUUCCAUUGACCACGGAAGAAUCCCUGUUCCUAUCUUCCCCGAGCUUAUCCGCCCAAGAUAAAUCCUAUCUAACCUUCAGAACCAUCUUCCCCUUCUUCCGUGAACCAACAACCACUCCUCCCAGCAAAUCUCGGCUUCCAUCUUCAUGGAUUGCAUCCCAGUUCCCCUAUUCCACAUCACCAGAUCGUAUUCCAUAUCAUCCUACCUCCCGAACCAAUCCAGCAUCUCUCCGGAUAGAUCCCAGCCUCCGAGAUCCUCUCACACGCCUGCGUCUUGCAUAAUCCUCUGUUCCCAGCCGUUCUCAGCUGCUCAACCGCAGAUCU
Molecule: long non-coding RNA, 774 nt
Filed under: Phoenix dactylifera (date palm)
Lineage: Eukaryota; Viridiplantae; Streptophyta; Magnoliopsida; Arecales; Arecaceae
Description: long non-coding RNA (PDAC_LNC008858)
Source: RNAcentral